Molecule: ribosomal RNA, 513 nt
Filed under: Messatoporus sp. NL361
Lineage: Eukaryota; Metazoa; Arthropoda; Insecta; Hymenoptera; Ichneumonidae
Description: eukaryotic LSU rRNA
Source: RNAcentral
CCUGAGAAACCCAAAAGAUCGAAAGGGGAGAUUCAUCGUCAGCGAUUUUGGUACGUGUGCGGCUCGCGAUGCCGCGGGCCUCGGUCCGCAGGCACGCGUCCGCAUGUUUUUUAUUGCCUCGAUCGUCGGCGUGCACUUCUCCCCUAGUAGGACGUCGCGACCCGUUGGGUGUCGGUCUACGGCCCGGGUGGUAGCCUGUCUCGUGUGCGCUUCGCGGCGUUACGCGGUUCAGACCCCCGGUCGCCCGACCGGCUGCUCGGCGGUACUCGCACGGUAUCUGGCCGCAACCAUUCGAACUGCGUCCGGCCGUCGCAAGCGAGGCAAGUGUUUUCCCGGUUGUACGGAUCCAAUGCCGUCACCGGGCCUUGCCAGCUGUUGGCUGACGGUGUCCUAGGACUGGCUAAUACAAUUUAUGAUACCGGUCGGCGACGCUACUGCUUUGGGUACUUUCAGGACCCGUCUUGAAACACGGACCAAGGAGUCUAACAUGUGCGCGAGUCAUUGGGAACUAUU